CAGCAGCCACGGUAAUACGGAGGGAGCUAGCGUUGUUCGGAAUUACUGGGCGUAAAGCGCGCGUAGGCGGUUACUCAAGUCAGAGGUGAAAGCCCGGGGCUCAACCCCGGAACUGCCUUUGAAACUAGGUGACUAGAAUCUUGGAGAGGUCAGUGGAAUUCCGAGUGUAGAGGUGAAAUUCGUAGAUAUUCGGAAGAACACCAGUGGCGAAGGCGACUGACUGGACAAGUAUUGACGCUGAGGUGCGAAAGCGUGGGGAGCAAACAGGAUUAGAUACCCCAGUAGUCCCUGUCUCUUAUAC
This 301-nucleotide ribosomal RNA is filed under the name uncultured bacterium. Its description in RNAcentral is "partial 16S ribosomal RNA". It matches the Rfam family "Bacterial small subunit ribosomal RNA", at positions 509 to 807 of the family's 1533-position model. The record is from RNAcentral.